This 392-nucleotide ribosomal RNA is filed under the name uncultured bacterium. RNAcentral's name for it is "bacterial SSU rRNA". It matches the Rfam family "Bacterial small subunit ribosomal RNA", at positions 30 to 421 of the family's 1533-position model. The record is from RNAcentral.
AUUGAACGCUGGCGGCAUGCCUUACACAUGCAAGUCGAACGGUAACGGGCCUUCGGGUGCCGACGAGUGGCGAACGGGUGAGUAAUGUAUCGGAACGUACCUUCCAGUGGGGGAUAACGUAGCGAAAGUUACGCUAAUACCGCAUAUUCUGUGAGCAGGAAAGCAGGGGAUCGCAAGACCUUGCGCUGAUUGAGCGGCCGAUAUCAGAUUAGCUAGUUGGUGAGGUAAAGGCUCACCAAGGCGACGAUCUGUAGCGGGUCUGAGAGGGUGAUCCGCCACACUGGAACUGAGACACGGUCCAGACUCCUACGGGAGGCAGCAGUGGGGAAUUUUUGGACAAAUGGGGGCGAACCCUGAUCCAGCCAUGCCGCGUGAGUGAAGAAGGCCUUCGG